Molecule: ribosomal RNA, 253 nt
Filed under: uncultured bacterium
Lineage: Bacteria
Description: partial 16S ribosomal RNA
Rfam family: Bacterial small subunit ribosomal RNA
Source: RNAcentral
UACGUAGGGUCCGAGCGUUGUCCGGCAUUACUGGGCGUAAAGAGCUCGUAGGUGGUUUGUCGCGUUGUUCGUGAAAACUCACAGCUUAACUGUGGGCGUGCGGGCGAUACGGGCAGACUGGAGUACUGCAGGGGAGACUGGAAUUCCUGGUGUAGCGGUGGAAUGCGCAGAUAUCAGGAGGAACACCGGUGGCGAAGGCGGGUCUCUGGGCAGUAACUGACGCUGAGGAGCGAAAGCGUGGGGAGCGAACAGG